Molecule: ribosomal RNA, 1145 nt
Filed under: Klebsiella pneumoniae
Lineage: Bacteria; Pseudomonadati; Pseudomonadota; Gammaproteobacteria; Enterobacterales; Enterobacteriaceae
Description: partial 23S ribosomal RNA
Rfam family: Bacterial large subunit ribosomal RNA
Source: RNAcentral
UGUGAACUCGAAGAGUAGGGCGGGACACGUGGUAUCCUGUCUGAAUAUGGGGGGACCAUCCUCCAAGGCUAAAUACUCCUGACUGACCGAUAGUGAACCAGUACCGUGAGGGAAAGGCGAAAAGAACCCCGGCGAGGGGAGUGAAAAAGAACCUGAAACCGUGUACGUACAAGCAGUGGGAGCACCUUCGGGUGUGACUGCGUACCUUUUGUAUAAUGGGUCAGCGACUUAUAUUCUGUAGCAAGGUUAACCGUAUAGGGGAGCCGCAGGGAAACCGAGUCUUAACUGGGCGUUAAGUUGCAGGGUAUAGACCCGAAACCCGGUGAUCUAGCCAUGGGCAGGUUGAAGGUUGGGUAACACUAACUGGAGGACCGAACCGACUAAUGUUGAAAAAUUAGCGGAUGACUUGUGGCUGGGGGUGAAAGGCCAAUCAAACCGGGAGAUAGCUGGUUCUCCCCGAAAGCUAUUUAGGUAGCGCCUCGUGAACUCAUCUUCGGGGGUAGAGCACUGUUUCGGCUAGGGGGUCAUCCCGACUUACCAACCCGAUGCAAACUACGAAUACCGAAGAAUGUUAUCACGGGAGACACACGGCGGGUGCUAACGUCCGUCGUGAAGAGGGAAACAACCCAGACCGCCAGCUAAGGUCCCAAAGUCAUGGUUAAGUGGGAAACGAUGUGGGAAGGCACAGACAGCCAGGAUGUUGGCUUAGAAGCAGCCAUCAUUUAAAGAAAGCGUAAUAGCUCACUGGUCGAGUCGGCCUGCGCGGAAGAUGUAACGGGGCUAAACCAUGCACCGAAGCUGCGGCAGCGACACUAUGUGUUGUUGGGUAGGGGAGCGUUCUGUAAGCCUGCGAAGGUGUGCUGUGAGGCAUGCUGGAGGUAUCAGAAGUGCGAAUGCUGACAUAAGUAACGAUAAAGCGGGUGAAAAGCCCGCUCGCCGGAAGACCAAGGGUUCCUGUCCAACGUUAAUCGGGGCAGGGUGAGUCGACCCCUAAGGCGAGGCCGAAAGGCGUAGUCGAUGGGAAACAGGUUAAUAUUCCUGUACUUGGUGUUACUGCGAAGGGGGGACGGAGAAGGCUAUGUUAGCCGGGCGACGGUUGUCCCGGUUUAAGCAUGUAGGCUGGUUAUCCAGGCAAAUCCGGAUAA